CGCCUCUUGAGAGCAUAAGAGGUCCUGUCUGCACAAUGACCUAUGGGUUCAAUUGCCGCGGUACCCUGACCGUGCUAAGGUAGCGUAAUCAAUAGCCUAUUAAUUGUUGGCCUGUAUCAAUGGCGCAACGCUGGUGGUGCUGUCUCUUCGGUAUUUUAUUGAAUUUAGUCUCUUGGUGAAAAAGCCAGGAUGAAACUAAAAGACGAUAAGACCCUGUCGAACUUUAGGCUGCCCUUUCAUAGGCCGUUAUUGGCCUAUUAACGGCUAACCUUUGGUUGGGGAAACCGAGGACCAAAAAAAGCGUCCGUCCCACUUACUGUUAAGUUUAAGAAAUAGUGAUUUUGUGGUUUUUUGGGGGUCUGGCGAGACUAAAAUAGCUGUCUGGAUCCGGAGGCCAAGGAGCACUUCGAAAUGGGAAAAGUUACCGCAGGGAUAACAGCGUAAUCCCCCCGGAGAGACCAUAUUAAUGGGGGGGUUUGCGACCUCGAUGUUGGCUUAAGGCAUCCUGGGGGUGCAGGAGCCCCCAACGGUUGGUCUGUUCGACCAUUAAUGCCUU
RNAcentral lists this ribosomal RNA (556 nucleotides) under Patelloida mimula. Its description in RNAcentral is "partial large subunit ribosomal RNA". It matches the Rfam family "Bacterial large subunit ribosomal RNA", at positions 1816 to 2597 of the family's 2925-position model. The record is from RNAcentral. Lineage: Eukaryota; Metazoa; Mollusca; Gastropoda; Lottiidae.